AUCACACUCGGAGGGGCUCCCUCCUCGCUCUCUCUCCCCCCUUGCUCCCUCUCUCCCUUCCCUCUCCCGCAGGUGAACCUUGCUUCUCCGCCCCUUCCCGCCUCCGCAGCCCCACCCUUCCCACCCCGGGUGGCCCAGAAGGACUGGGGCUCAGGAGGCCACCCCCACAUACACCAAGAAGGGGAGACAGUGCAGGUUCCUGGAGCUGCAGGAGGAGGGGAAGCAAGGGGCGCCUCCCAAUUAUGCGUCUCCCCCGCAGUCGCCUCCCUCCUCGGCGCCCUCUUCUCGGGCACGAACUCACCCUGGCACCCGUUCGUAGGAGGGCGCGCGGUUGGAAAGGUGAGUGGCCAGAGCCGGGGCGUGGGAGGAGGAGCUGCCCGCUGCCCGCUGCCCGCUGCCCGGGGGCGCCAAGAGCGGGCGUGGGGGCCGGCAGCCCGGAGGCUGGGAGACGCCGCGAUUAGGUCGGCGGAGCGCGCGCGUCUUUACCCGGGUCACCGGGAAGGCAGCCCCACUGCUUCCCGGGCGGGAGCCGGUGCCGUCCUCCCCGGGUCCCUCCGCGACACGCCCACGCCGGGGACUGGCGUUGACCACACACGUCCACGGGCACGCUGUGCUCUGCGGUCCAGGCCGGCGGAGCACGGGCGCGGGGCGGCCUCCCGGACGCCGGGGCUCUCCCCGUCGGUGUCCGCGGGAACCCGAGCCCGGCGCCCGGCGCCCGGGGUGGCGCGGAGGCCUCUCGCGGCUGCGGGGAGCCCGGGGCGCCGGGACGCCGCCUGGGCCCCGCAGCCUUCGGGACCCGCGGGGCCGCCGGCCACGGAGCGCGGGCGCGGGCGCGGGCGCGGGGGGCGCGCAGCCCGGACCCCGGACCCCGGACCGCGGGCCCGGCGGGGAGGCGGGGAGGCGGGCAGGGCGCCGCGGGGCCGGGAGGCCAUUUUGAGAGCGAGGAGCGGCCGCAAGAUGGCUGCGUGGGCACGAGGUAGGUCGCGGCGCGGCCCACGGAAGCGGAACGCGCGUGGAGCGCGCCCUCCCGCCGGUCCCCGCCGCUGCGCUCGGGCGCCCCUACGGCGGCGGGCCGGGCCCUCCGUCGCGGCUGGCGGUGCGCCCCGGGCCGCUGCGUGCGCUCCCGCCGGAGCCACCGGGAGGGACGCGCGCGGUCCGAGCCCUCCGCGGCCGGCCCGGGGUCGGGCAGGGGCGGAGCCGUGGCGCGGGGUCGCAGUCCCCAGCCGCGCGCGCUUCGCGCUCUUCCAUUCUUUCCGCGGAAUGUCGGGCGCACGGCGGACGCUCGCUCUCGCCCCGACACCGCGAGGCCCGGUGGCGAGCAGAGCCGGGCCGCCCUGCCCCAGCUCGCGGACGGCGUCUGCAGCGCUCGGGCCGAGGACGCCCCCGCCUCCCGCCCCAGGCCGGCCAGCACCCUCCCUGGCGGGGCUGCGGCGACGGGGGUAG
This 1443-nucleotide long non-coding RNA is filed under the name Canis lupus familiaris (dog). RNAcentral describes it as "lncRNA (ENSCAFG00000058650.1)". The record is from RNAcentral. Lineage: Eukaryota; Metazoa; Chordata; Mammalia; Carnivora; Canidae.